Molecule: long non-coding RNA, 1485 nt
Filed under: Strigops habroptila (Kakapo)
Lineage: Eukaryota; Metazoa; Chordata; Aves; Psittaciformes; Psittacidae
Description: lncRNA (ENSSHBG00005000630.1)
Source: RNAcentral
UUUUUUUUUUUUUUUUUGCCUCUCAAUUAUAGUUACACAUCAUCGUUCCUAUGCUCCCUGCAUCAGUGAGAGCUGAAGGUGCUUGGCAUUUUUGUAUCUACUUUAUGUUUAUGUUUUAUUCUCACUAACUACAUUUCCAACUACAGAUGAAAAAGGGAGGCAUAAAGCGAUGAAUGUGCCACAAUCUCCAGCAUUCUAAGAAAAAAAGCUAAUGAUUUUCUAGAAGAUUGUGGUUUAUUCCAACCACAGUCCAAAUCAAGCUUUACAAAUUGCCAGUUAUGACUAGGCGAGCCUGGCUUCUGAUCAUGUUGUUUCUCACGUGUCUUUGCCAGUAGAAAGUCUGCUGUGAGUAUUAUGGGAUGGAGGACCUUGACUGUUUCUUUUUUUUCUUUUAUUUUAUUUGUGCUGAUGCAAUCACUUGUAUAUUCCAAUAAAUUACUAAUUUUGAGUGAAUCAUCAUUAUUAACAGUAACAGAAAUUGGUUUUAUUCCCACAUUUCUGUUCAGGUCCACCUCCACCAAACCCAGCCCUCAUGAUGGCAUUUUUCUUUGAAGCUCGUUUACAGACCUAGGUGGACUAGAACAACCAGCCCUCCUGUUUGCACUCAGGAGGUGGCCUUUCCAAGUGUUUUAUCUCAUCAUUUCUAUCAUUUGCUCUACCUUCUAGAGAAGAAGACUUAAUUCAGCCUAUAAGUUCAACAGGAUCCCUGAGGGAGGGGGAAGGCAAGGAGGGAGGGAGAGAGGGAAGGAUGAAGAGAGGGAAGAAAAAUCUCACGUCUUUUUGGGGGUAAAUCCCACACAUUUUAGUGAACUUUUCCACAGUUAUAAAUCCAAAGAGUUCCUCAAACACCUCUCCAAGCUGUGCUGCUCACUCUGCCCCAGCAUUCCAGAAGAGACCUCUGUACCAACCCUGCACAACUGAAAUGAUACUGAGAUAAAUCUGUACCGUUCUCUGGAUACCAGAUCUGCACUUAUUUUUCUUUUGCAUGGGAGAUCCUGACUCAUGCCUGUGGCUGGGUUUGGGCAUGUGUGGUGUGUGCUCAUCUAGUAUUGCUUGUGGCCAGUUAGAAAAAUCAUAUAAUCCACCGCAGGUUUAAAACAUAAUUUAAACCUGCCAAGUCUCAUAACUUCCAAGAAGGCAAAUUUACCAUAAAGAGAAUGGUUUCCACUUACUAGAUUUUAUAUUCAGAUUUCUGGCACACAGGCUUCCCACCAAAAAAGUCUUUUAUGCAAGCACAUAAUCAAUGGAAGCCUUCAUUUCACUGUGGUUAGAUUUAAUGUGAUAAUGAAUAUUCUAGUGUCAGCUCUGGCUAAAUGGAUGGGGUUUCACCUCAGAUUCCCUCCUUUAAAUAUCUCACACAGGCACAUGCUUUCUGAGUGGUAAAUAAUUUAGCAGCACCAGCAGAAGGACACCUGAGAUAUGUUCAAAAUGCAGGCGUAUCUGCCUCGCUCAUGUACUGCCCCAUGUUCCUGCUCUUGUUAACAG